This 241-nucleotide unclassified non-coding RNA is filed under the name plant metagenome. RNAcentral's name for it is "partial contains small subunit ribosomal RNA, internal transcribed spacer 1, and 5.8S ribosomal RNA". The record is from RNAcentral.
UUUCCGUAGGUGAACCUGCGGAAGGAUCAUUAUUGAAUGAAACACUUCUGGCUUUAUGCUGUUGUACUGGCCCUUUGGGCAAUGUGCACACGGCUCUGGUCACUUGUCUAUUCUGUUCCACCUGUGCACUGCCUGUAGACACGCUGUGUCUAUGAUAUUUGUUAACACACAACAAUGUUAGUUGGGAUGUUAUAUAUAAUAAUAAAAUAUACAACUUUCAACAACGGAUCUCUUGGCUCUC